Molecule: ribosomal RNA, 514 nt
Filed under: uncultured bacterium
Lineage: Bacteria
Description: partial 16S ribosomal RNA
Rfam family: Bacterial small subunit ribosomal RNA
Source: RNAcentral
UGGGGAAUAUUGGACAAUGGGGGCAACCCUGAUCCAGCCAUGCCGCGUGAGUGAUGAAGGGCCUUCGGGUUGUAAAGCUCUUUUGGCGGGGACGAUGAUGACGGUACCCGCAGAAUAAGCCCCGGCUAACUUCGUGCCAGCAGCCGCGGUAAGACGAAGGGGGCUAGCGUUGUUCGGAAUUACUGGGCGUAAAGCGAGUGUAGGCGGUUGCCGUAGUCAGGUGUGAAAGCCUUGAGCUCAACUCAAGAAAUGCACUUGAUACUGGGUGACUAGAGGACCGGAGAGGAUAGUGGAAUUCCCAGUGUAGUGGUGAAAUACGUAGAGAUUGGGAAGAACACCAGUGGCGAAGGCGGCUAUCUGGACGGUUACUGACGCUAAGACUCGAAAGCGUGGGGAGCAAAACAGGAUUAGAUACCCUGGUAGUCCACGCCGUAAACGAUGGGUGCUAGACGUUGGCGAGCUUGCUCGUCAGUGUCGCAGCUAACGCGUUAAGCACCCCGCCUGGGGAGUACGG